This 757-nucleotide long non-coding RNA is filed under the name Struthio camelus australis. RNAcentral describes it as "lncRNA (ENSSCUG00000013298.1)". Lineage: Eukaryota; Metazoa; Chordata; Aves; Struthioniformes; Struthionidae. The record is from RNAcentral.
CUCCUUCAUUUGGGAGGGGAGCUGGGAGGGUGGAAGCAGUGGUGGAGGUGUGUGCUGGGUGAAGAGCACCUGGUCCGAAGCAGCUGGACAGCAGACGAGGGAAAGGACGACGGGCUCGCCCUGCUCCUUGGUUCAGGAGGUCUGGUCAAGAACAGUGGGGCUCCUGCCCCGGGGCGAGUGGCCCCUGCUUCUGGAGAACCAGAACCUUUGAAAUGUCUAUCAGAACCUCGUGAGAAGACAGCGAUCGACUUGGAGCAGAAAUUUGAAGAACUAAAGCUGUGGUUGUUCCUGAGAGUUGAUGCCAAGACAACAGAUCCUGUAGGGGCCAAAGAAAAGUUUUCCUUUUGUUGUUUCCUUCCCACUGACUUCAAAGGCUUUUCAAAGGGAGGAGGAUUAGUGCUGUUCCUGAAUUGCCCUCCAAGGCAGGGAAAUUGCCUGGCACUUGUUUCACCUGGAGUUCCUUGCCCUUGAAACCUGCUAUGCCCCCAGGGUAUCGACUAUCAUAAAUGCUGCUGUGUCUCUUUUCUUCCCUAUUCUUGACAGGGACAAAAGUGAGGAUUGCAAAUAUCUAUUUGUUGUAGUCAUACCUCUUUCAAAGAAAGGUAAAAACAAGUGUUAUUGCCUUUGUGUUAGAAUUGUGGGUCCAAAAUCUUUCUUUCCCCUGACCAGCUCCUUUGCCUGCUCUGCAGUAGGAGAGAAAUGCAAAAUGACACUGCCCUUGACUUCCUUGCGGGGUCCAUCUGUGCAGAUAGUUGGG